This 838-nucleotide ribosomal RNA is filed under the name Xepicula leucotricha. Its description in RNAcentral is "eukaryotic LSU rRNA". It matches the Rfam family "Eukaryotic large subunit ribosomal RNA", at positions 66 to 938 of the family's 3401-position model. The record is from RNAcentral. Lineage: Eukaryota; Fungi; Ascomycota; Sordariomycetes; Hypocreales; Stachybotryaceae.
CAACAGGGAUUGCCUCAGUAACGGCGAGUGAAGCGGCAACAGCUCAAAUUUGAAAUCUGGCCCUAGGCCCGAGUUGUAAUUUGCAGAGGAUGCUUUUGGCAAGGUGCCUUCCGAGUUCCCUGGAACGGGACGCCAUAGAGGGUGAGAGCCCCGUCUGGUCGGACACCGAGCCUCUGUAAAGCUCCUUCGACGAGUCGAGUAGUUUGGGAAUGCUGCUCAAAAUGGGAGGUAUAUGUCUUCUAAAGCUAAAUACCGGCCAGAGACCGAUAGCGCACAAGUAGAGUGAUCGAAAGAUGAAAAGCACUUUGAAAAGAGAGUUAAAUAGCACGUGAAAUUGUUGAAAGGGAAGCGUUUAUGACCAGACUUGGCCCGGUUGAUCAUCCAGCGUUCUCGCUGGUGCACUCUGCCGGUCCAGGCCAGCAUCAGUUCGUCGCGGGGGAUAAAGGUUUCGGGAAUGUGGCUCCUCCGGGAGUGUUAUAGCCCGUUGCGUAAUACCCUGCGGUGGACUGAGGUCCGCGCUUCUGCAAGGAUGCUGGCGUAAUGGUCAUCAACGACCCGUCUUGAAACACGGACCAAGGAGUCGUCUUCGUAUGCGAGUGUUCGGGUGUAAAACCCCUACGCGUAAUGAAAGUGAACGCAGGUGAGAGCUUCGGCGCAUCAUCGACCGAUCCUGAUGUUCUCGGAUGGAUUUGAGUAAGAGCAUACGGGGCCGGACCCGAAAGAAGGUGAACUAUGCCUGUAUAGGGUGAAGCCAGAGGAAACUCUGGUGGAGGCUCGCAGCGGUUCUGACGUGCAAAUCGAUCGUCAAAUAUGGGCAUGGGGGCGAAAGACUAAUCGA